GGGCGGCGCUGGUCUCCAGCAAAGAAGGUGCUGUAGGGAAUUCGCAAACACCAACGGUAACCAGGGCAGCUGAAGGCGCGGCGAGGAGGGAAGGCCGGGUGCGCAUGCGCGCAGAACGCGGCGUUAGAGGAGCCGGGUGGAGAGAGGCGGGCGACUAGUUCCCGCGGUGCGGGGGCGCACACGAGAUUUGGCGGCUAGCAGCCGCAGGGCUGCGUGCCUUUGGCCCCAGUCUGGAGCGCAGGCGGCUGAGAGCUUGGCGCGCGUCUCCACGCCUCUCCUCCCUCAGGAAGGGCGGCGUUCCAUGAGUCUCAAACUUUGGCGCGCCAAAGACUGGAAACCACCUAGAGUGUUUGUCAGACUCUGAAGCCACACCCCUAGGUAUUCGGACUGUGCUUGUAGGAUGAGGCUCCACAAAGUCUUCAACGGCCACUCUCGCUGAUUUGGCUGCAGGUAGUCUUUGGCCUGCACUUUUUGAGACGCCGUGGUGUAGAGAAUUCGUGACUAAUAGUUCUUUCUCUGAAAGGAAGUCCAGAUUCUCAGGUUUUGAGAUUUCUGCCCCACCUACUCAGAUUGUGAAGCCUACAUAGUGUCGUUUCUCAUUUCAUGGUUGGGAGAAUGGGACCACAGACUAGAGAUUUGAUCUGCACGCCAUCCUGCAUCCGCUUGAAGUGUGCUGUCGCUAUGGGACUGUAGACAGUGCAAGCGUCAGCUGUAUUCGGCUUUCCUAUGUUGGCGGCAUCUUUAUACAAUUUUGACAUGAGAUCUAAAGAUUGCAGGAAUUGAAGGUGUGAAACGAAGGGCUGGAAUCAAAUUCUUAAUUUUAAUAUUACCUUGCCUGCUGUAUCAGAAUGAUUAGUCUUGAUUUCAUAUUCCAGCCUGUAUUGAAUGUAAUCCAGAUCAGAGUCAGCUUUCUGGAACUAGAGAUCAGCAUAAAUCAUUUUUUGUGAAGCAAAAGACAUACUAAUAAAUAUGAUAACUGUUAACUAUUC
This is a long non-coding RNA of Suricata suricatta (meerkat), 989 nucleotides long. RefSeq lists it as uncharacterized. The record is from RefSeq and is a predicted model, not a curated record. Lineage: Eukaryota; Metazoa; Chordata; Mammalia; Carnivora; Herpestidae. The transcript is spliced from 2 exons.